GGGAUAGCCAUGCGAGUCACAUAGCAAUAUGUGGCAUACGGCUCAGUAACACGUAGUCAACAUGCCCAGGGGACGUGGAUAACCUCGGGAAACUGAGGAUAAACCGCGAUAGGUCAUCACUUCUGGAAUGGGUAAUGACUUAAACCUAUAUGGCCCCUGGAUUGGACUGCGGCCGAUCAGGCUGUUGGUGAGGUAAUGGCCCACCAAACCUGUAACCGGUACGGGCUCUGAGAGGAGGAGCCCGGAGAUGGGCACUGAGACAAGGGCCCAGGCCCUAUGGGGCGCAGCAGGCGCGAAACCUCUGCAAUAGGCGAAAGCUUGACAGGGUUACUCUGAGUGAUUUCCGUUAAGGAGAUCUUUUGGCACCUCUAAAAAUGGUGCAGAAUAAGGGGUGGGCAAGUCUGGUGUCAGCCGCCGCGGUAAUACCAGCACCCCGAGUGGUCGGGACGUUUAUUGGGCCUAAAGCAUCCGUAGCCGGUUCUACAAGUCUUCCGUUAAAUCCACCUGCUUAACAGAUGGGCUGCGGAAGAUACUAUAGAGCUAGGAGGCGGGAGAGGCAAGCGGUACUCGAUGGGUAGGGGUAAAAUCCGUUGAUCCAUUGAAGACCACCAGUGGCGAAGGCGGCUUGCCAGAACGCGCUCGACGGUGAGGGAUGAAAGCUGGGGGAGCAAACCGGAUUAGAUACCCGGGUAGUCCCAGCUGUAAACGAUGCAGACUCGGUGAUGAGUUGGCUUAUUGCUAACUCAGUGCCGCAGGGAAGCCGUUAAGUUUGCCGCCUGGGGAGUACGGUCGCAAGACUGAACUUAAAGGAAUUGGCGGGGGAGCAACACAGGGUGAGCCUGCGUU
RNAcentral lists this ribosomal RNA (846 nucleotides) under uncultured crenarchaeote. RNAcentral describes it as "bacterial SSU rRNA". It matches the Rfam family "Archaeal small subunit ribosomal RNA", at positions 42 to 901 of the family's 1478-position model. The record is from RNAcentral. Lineage: Archaea; Thermoproteati; Thermoproteota.